This 370-nucleotide ribosomal RNA is filed under the name uncultured bacterium. RNAcentral describes it as "bacterial SSU rRNA". It matches the Rfam family "Bacterial small subunit ribosomal RNA", at positions 971 to 1345 of the family's 1533-position model. The record is from RNAcentral.
UUACCCACCUUUGACAUGUACGGAAGUCGCCAGAGAUGGCUUCGUGCUCGAAAGAGAGCCGUAACACAGGUGCUGCAUGGCUGUCGUCAGCUCGUGUCGUGAGAUGUUGGGUUAAGUCCCGCAACGAGCGCAACCCUUGUCAUUAGUUGCUACGAAAGGGCACUCUAAUGAGACUGCCGGUGACAAACCGGAGGAAGGUGGGGAUGACGUCAAGUCCUCAUGGCCCUUAUAGGUGGGGCUACACACGUCAUACAAUGGCCGGUACAAAGGGUCGCAAACCCGCGAGGGGGAGCCAAUCCAUCAAAGCCGGUCGUAGUCCGGAUCGCAGUCUGCAACUCGACUGCGUGAAGUCGGAAUCGCUAGUAAUCGG